RNAcentral lists this ribosomal RNA (700 nucleotides) under uncultured Actinomycetes bacterium. Its description in RNAcentral is "bacterial SSU rRNA". It matches the Rfam family "Bacterial small subunit ribosomal RNA", at positions 73 to 786 of the family's 1533-position model. Lineage: Bacteria; Bacillati; Actinomycetota; Actinomycetes. The record is from RNAcentral.
UGAGUAGCAAUACAAGGGAAGACCUAGUGGCGAACGGGUGAGUAUCACGUGAGAAACCAACCCCGGUCUCUGGGAUAACAGUUGGAAACGACUGCUAAUACUGGAUGUCGUCGUACCCUCGCAUGGGGGGAUGACGAAAGGGUUACCGGAUCGGGACGGUCUCGCGGCCUAUCAGCUUGUUGGGGAGGUAACGGCUCACCAAGGCUUCGACGGGUAGCUGGUCUGAGAGGAUGAUCAGCCACACUGGGACUGAGACACGGCCCAGACUCCUACGGGAGGCAGCAGUGGGGAAUCUUGCGCAAUGGGCGAAAGCCUGACGCAGCAACGCCGCGUGCGGGAUGAAGGCCUUCUGGUUGUAAACCGCUUUUAACAGGAACGAAAAUGACGGUACCUGUAGAAUAAGGUGCGGCCAACUACGUGCCAGCAGCCGCGGUGACACGUAGGCACCAAGCGUUGUCCGGAUUUAUUGGGCGUAAAGAGCUCGUAGGCGGUUCAGUAAGUCGAGUGUGAAAACUCUGGGCUUAACCCAGAGACGCCACUCGAUACUACUGUGACUAGAGUUCGGUAGGGGAGCGGGGAAUUCCUAGUGUAGCGGUGAAAUGCGCAGAUAUUAGGAGGAACACCGGUGGCGAAGGCGCCGCUCUGGGCCGAUACUGACGCUGAGGAGCGAAAGCGUGGGUAGCAAACAGGAUUAGAUACC